UACGAAGGGGGCUAGCGUUGCUCGGAAUCACUGGGCGUAAAGGGUGCGUAGGCGGGUCUUUAAGUCAGAGGUGAAAUCCUGGAGCUCAACUCCAGAACUGCCUUUGAUACUGAGGAUCUUGAGUUCGGGAGAGGUGAGUGGAACUGCGAGUGUAGAGGUGAAAUUCGUAGAUAUUCGCAAGAACACCAGUGGCGAAGGCGGCUCACUGGCCCGAUACUGACGCUGAGGCACGAAAGCUAGGGGAGCAAACAGG
This 253-nucleotide ribosomal RNA is filed under the name uncultured bacterium. RNAcentral's name for it is "partial 16S ribosomal RNA". It matches the Rfam family "Bacterial small subunit ribosomal RNA", at positions 524 to 776 of the family's 1533-position model. The record is from RNAcentral.